ACAGGCCAGAACGGAUUAAACUGAAACACACCAGUUGUUCAUAACACACACAAGUGUACACGAUGUUUCGAGCCUUCGUCGUUUGUGUCCUGCUUUUGGCUGCGGUUGGUGCGGAUGACAUUCGCGAUUGUCUGAGAGCAUGUCCACUGAACUACGCACCGAUCUGUGGAUCUAACGGAAUCACAUACUCCAAUUCUUGUGAAAUGGGCGUGAGGCUGUGCAUGUCCGGGGAUACUGCGACGGUCAUGGUGGCACACCAGGGUGCUUGUUAGCAGGACAUUUGAAGGCAAUAAAGCAUAUCAUGUCUAACAA
Haliotis rufescens (red abalone) is the source of this 312-nucleotide long non-coding RNA. RefSeq lists it as uncharacterized. The transcript has 3 exons. The record is from RefSeq and is a predicted model, not a curated record. Lineage: Eukaryota; Metazoa; Mollusca; Gastropoda; Lepetellida; Haliotidae.